ACCGUUACAAACAGUGUGUGAUGCGGCCGCCGAGGUGAAUAGCCUCUGGUUGGUAUGGGGUUCGCCCCUUCACGCUCACGCGUCUGCCAUCCUUACUUUACGAGCACCUUCUGUUCUCCCUCGGCAAGGGCCUCGCCUGCCGUUGGAACUACAAAACCCUUUUUUGCAUCUAGCAUUACCUGUUCCGACAAAAACAAUCGUUUA
RNAcentral lists this unclassified non-coding RNA (204 nucleotides) under soil metagenome. RNAcentral describes it as "partial internal transcribed spacer 1". The record is from RNAcentral.